AAAACGUGAGGCGCUGCUAUA
This 21-nucleotide microRNA is filed under the name Macaca mulatta (Rhesus monkey). RNAcentral's name for it is "mml-miR-424-3p". Its record names the gene mml-miR-424-3p. The record is from miRBase by way of RNAcentral. Lineage: Eukaryota; Metazoa; Chordata; Mammalia; Primates; Cercopithecidae.